Long non-coding RNA from Erpetoichthys calabaricus (reedfish), 890 nucleotides. RefSeq lists it as uncharacterized. Lineage: Eukaryota; Metazoa; Chordata; Cladistia; Polypteriformes; Polypteridae. The record is from RefSeq and is a predicted model, not a curated record. The transcript is spliced from 10 exons.
UUUGAAAAUGGAUGAAUUGAUUUCCUUCCCUUAAUGUGCAAAUUAUCUGAGACAUGAACUUUAUUGGAAAGUGGCCAAAAUUUAAGAUGUAUCAAAAUGUCGCAUCAGUCAGGUGGAGCUCUACAAUAUUCUCCAAAAUAUCCCAACAGAGUGUAAUUGCAGACCGCAGUUCCUAUGAGGUCAGUCAUGUAAUACCCUAACAUCACGAAACGCCCUCAACGCCCCAAUCACGUUCACAUAACUGCUUUUGUUUCAUUAUCAAGGAUGUAGUACGGUAUAUUGUGAAUUAAGGUUUUAAACAAAGUUGUUAUGAACCAGAUAACCAAGGUAAAUAUAUGAAUAAAUAAGGGCAGGGGUUAGUAACACAGAGUAAUGGAGACAAGCGUCUUUUGUAAAGUUCUUUUUCAUGUGCUUUAAUAAAUUAAAAGCUUUUCUGAGUUAACCAUCUGCCUUGCACUGAAUCAUUUACGGAAGCUUCCAGAACGAAUACAGAAUAUCAGAGGAUGUUGCGGUUCAGUUGCUCACAAAACGAAAGCAAAAUUUUUCAACGGUCUGAUCAAGACACGCACUUGUGAAACGAAGCAGGACUGCUUUUUGAAUUUGCUGAACAUAUCCGACGACCUCGGUAAUCUGUCGAACGUAGUAAGGUGGAUCCAAAGAAGACCAUGGGAACAGUCAGUAUUACAAGUGGUUGGACAGAUUUUAUGGAAGUGUUGCGGAACUUGCUGAAGAUGACAGAACGGGAGGAAUCGAAAGAGAGAGAUCUGGAGGAAUCGAAAGAGAGAGAUCUGUUGCGGAACUUGCUGACAAUGUCAGAACGGUUGCAGGAUUUGCUGACAAUGACAGAAUGGGAUUCUAAUUGGCCUUUCUGGUGGUCAUAUACUGUUUUG